GAUGAACGCUGGCGGCGUGCCUAAUACAUGCAAGUCGAGCGAACGGACGAGAAGCUUGCUUCUCUGAUGUUAGCGGCGGACGGGUGAGUAACACGUGGAUAACCUACCUAUAAGACUGGGAUAACUUCGGGAAACCGGAGCUAAUACCGGAUAAUAUUUUGAACCGCAUGGUUCAAAAGUGAAAGACGGUCUUGCUGUCACUUAUAGAUGGAUCCGCGCUGCAUUAGCUAGUUGGUAAGGUAACGGCUUACCAAGGCAACGAUGCAUAGCCGGCCUGAGAGGGUGAUCGGCCACACUGGAACUGAGACACGGUCCAGACUCCUACGGGAGGCAGCAGUAGGGAAUCUUCCGCAAUGGGCGAAAGCCUGACGGAGCAACGCCGCGUGAGUGAUGAAGGUCUUCGGAUCGUAAAACUCUGUUAUUAGGGAAGAACAUAUGUGUAAGUAACUGUGCACAUCUUGACGGUACCUAAUCAGAAAGCCACGGCUAACUACGUGCCAGCAGCCGCGGUAAUACGUAGGUGGCAAGCGUUAUCCGGAAUUAUUGGGCGUAAAGCGCGCGUAGGCGGUUUUUUAAGUCUGAUGUGAAAGCCCACGGCUCAACCGUGGAGGGUCAUUGGAAACUGGAAAACUUGAGUGCAGAAGAGGAAAGUGGAAUUCCAUGUGUAGCGGUGAAAUGCGCAGAGAUAUGGAGGAACACCAGUGGCGAAGGCGACUUUCUGGUCUGUAACUGACGCUGAUGUGCGAAAGCGUGGGGAUCAAACAGGAUUAGAUACCCUGGUAGUCCACGCCGUAAACGAUGAGUGCUAAGUGUUAGGGGGUUUCCGCCCCUUAGUGCUGCAGCUAACGCAUUAAGCACUCCGCCUGGGGAGUACGACCGCAAGGUUGAAACUCAAAGGAAUUGACGGGGACCCGCACAAGCGGUGGAGCAUGUGGUUUAAUUCGAAGCAACGCGAAGAACCUUACCAAAUCUUGACAUCCUUUGACAACUCUAGAGAUAGAGCCUUCCCCUUCGGGGGACAAAGUGACAGGUGGUGCAUGGUUGUCGUCAGCUCGUGUCGUGAGAUGUUGGGUUAAGUCCCGCAACGAGCGCAACCCUUAAGCUUAGUUGCCAUCAUUAAGUUGGGCACUCUAAGUUGACUGCCGGUGACAAACCGGAGGAAGGUGGGGAUGACGUCAAAUCAUCAUGCCCCUUAUGAUCUGGGCUACACACGUGCUACAAUGGACAAUACAAAGGGCAGCGAAACCGCGAGGUCAAGCAAAUCCCAUAAAGUUGUUCUCAGUUCGGAUUGUAGUCUGCAACUCGACUACAUGAAGCUGGAAUCGCUAGUAAUCGUAGAUCAGCAUGCUACGGUGAAUACGUUCCCGGGUCU
This 1372-nucleotide ribosomal RNA is filed under the name uncultured bacterium. RNAcentral describes it as "bacterial SSU rRNA". It matches the Rfam family "Bacterial small subunit ribosomal RNA", at positions 28 to 1381 of the family's 1533-position model. The record is from RNAcentral.